Non-coding RNA from Peziza echinospora, 104 nucleotides. Lineage: Eukaryota; Fungi; Ascomycota; Pezizomycetes; Pezizales; Pezizaceae. The record is from the annotation of a GenBank genome assembly.
GGGAAGAUGGCCGAGUGGUUAAGGCGCUACGUUUAGGAGGGUUCCACCCAGAACCAGAAAAUCCGUAGUGGGAAACCGCGUGAGUUCGAACCUCACUCUUCUCA